This 424-nucleotide ribosomal RNA is filed under the name uncultured bacterium. RNAcentral's name for it is "partial 16S ribosomal RNA". It matches the Rfam family "Bacterial small subunit ribosomal RNA", at positions 359 to 775 of the family's 1533-position model. The record is from RNAcentral.
GAAUUUUGGACAAUGGGCGAAAGCCUGAUCCAGCAAUGCCGCGUGCAGGCUGAAGGCCUUCGGGUUGUAAACUGCUUUUGUACGGAACGACAAGCUUUGGGUUAAUACCCUGGAGUCAUGACGGUACCGUAAGAAUAAGCACCGGCUAGCUUCGUGCCGGCAGCCGCGGUGAUACGUAGGGUGCACGAGUUAAUCGGAAUUACUGGGCGUAAAGCGUGCGCAGGCUGUUUUGUAAGACAGGGGUGAAAUCCCCGGGCUCAACCUGGGAGCUGCCUUUGGUACUGCAAGGCUAGAGUACGGCAGAGGGGGGUGGAAUUCCGCGUGUAGCAGUGAAAUGCGUAGAUAUGCGGAGGAACACCGAUGGCGAAGGCAACCCCCUGGGCCUGUACUGACGCUCAUGCACGAAAGCGUGGGGAGCAAACAG